CGUGCGCAGCGAUAAGGAAACACAAAGGACCUCACAAGGAUGACGUGAGAAAGUGCCCAAAUCAUGAGAGAGAGGGGGGGAGGGGGAGAUACAAAGUUUAGUCGAAUUAUCGAUUGGUAUUGCAGACCUCUUCUAGUACCCACUAAUAUCUAAAAAAAACAAGCAGCUCUUUAUGAUUGAAGAUGGAUCUUUACUAACAUCAGCAACUUUCAGUGUAGCUCUGGUAUCAUUAUCAUAUAUUGAACGCUGUAGAAUUGCAUCUUACUACUAUUCUAAUAUUAGGAACUCUCCGUUCGCUUUAGGAUCAUUAUCAUUGAUCUUAUAUAUUGAGAAGCGCAGUCUUGGUCCUUUGAACAGCUACUCUCAUAACCCUUCACCAUCGCGGAAACGUAAUAAACACUCAUCUCAACCCGGAUCUGGAGCCGCGAGGAGCUAAUGACGCCAUCCGACAACUUGGGCCAGUGCAGAAAAUCAAUUAAAUACAAGGAGCAAUAUGCCCACAAUGUAAUGACCGACCACCAGUGACCAGUUGACCCACGACCACCACCACCACCACCACUACCACCAUCAGUCGCCCAUGAUGAAGGCUGGCAUAAUAAUGAUAAACUGUCAAAACUACACGAUAUGCCAGAUCAUAUCUGCGGAUUGCAAUCCCCGCUGGCCAGGAGCAAACCACCACCGCCACCAGCACCGGCAGGUCGGAUCGGAUGUGGUGGUACCCACGCGCCCAACACAUUAACACGGCCCAAGGAUCGAGGACCUGACUGUCGAUCGCAACUUUAUGACUCCUAUUCGUUCGCUUUUCCACAACCAUUUGCAUCGUUUUGGUGC
This is a non-coding RNA of Drosophila melanogaster (fruit fly), 831 nucleotides long. Lineage: Eukaryota; Metazoa; Arthropoda; Insecta; Diptera; Drosophilidae. The record is from Ensembl.